Drosophila sulfurigaster albostrigata is the source of this 734-nucleotide long non-coding RNA. RefSeq lists it as uncharacterized. The record is from RefSeq and is a predicted model, not a curated record. Lineage: Eukaryota; Metazoa; Arthropoda; Insecta; Diptera; Drosophilidae. The transcript is spliced from 3 exons.
CUUUUUCAGUCGAUUUUGUGCAGCUCGAUAGCAUUGUCUAGCCUCUGGAGUGUGGGUCAAGAGUUAUGUUCUUGUCUCUGCCUCUGGCGAUUAUGCUGUCCGUUGCCAAAAUUCGGUGGUCUUACUUUCGAAGAUGCGGCAUCUGCAGCUGCUUGUAUAUUUUUCAAUAAUAUACUCACAGCAUCGUCAAUGUCAAUGGCCACGUUUAUCUCAGUGUUCAAGUGGAUGACGUUCUCAAGCGUAGACUGGAAACAUCUGAUAUCAGCGCCUCUGGCCAGAAGCCUGGAAUUUUCUCUGUGACAGCGCAAAUUGUCGUUUAGGCUGUCAUAAAGUUCGAUUUUCAACUGCAAAUGGUCAGAGCUAAGCUCAGCGCUGGACGAUAUGUGUGUGAAAUUGCCAUCAAUGCCGCUGGUGAUGGCAAAGUCAAUGGCCGACGGGCGCUUUCUUCUGUCGUGCGGAUAGUGUGUGGCUUCCAUAGAUAGCCUCGUACAAUGUCCUACCCCUCUGACACGCACGUGGGUUUCCCCACCACGCAUGCUUCGCAUUCCAGUCGCCACACAGAAGGAAGCGGGCCGCUGUAUUGCCAGUUUUCAGCAAAAUGGGUGCGCAUUGUAUGGCUUCUUCGUUAAUUGGCUGCAGUGCCGAGUGGCUAAUACGAGAACGUAUCAUGGUGGCAGCACCUCCUUUGCGAUGUGUGCUCGGAUUGACGGCAAAGUAAGUGACAAAUCCCGGCA